UCCCACGUGGUCUAACGGGUAGGAUAUCUGGCUUUCAUCCAGAAGGCCCGUGUUCGAUUCCCGGCGUGGACA
RNAcentral lists this transfer RNA (72 nucleotides) under Cordylochernes scorpioides. RNAcentral's name for it is "tRNA-Glu". It matches the Rfam family "tRNA". Rfam says of the family: Transfer RNA (tRNA) molecules are approximately 80 nucleotides in length. Their secondary structure includes four short double-helical elements and three loops (D, anti-codon, and T loops). Further hydrogen bonds mediate the characteristic L-shaped molecular structure. tRNAs have two regions of fundamental functional importance: the anti-codon, which is responsible for specific mRNA codon recognition, and the 3' end, to which the tRNAs corresponding amino acid is attached (by aminoacyl-tRNA synthetases). tRNAs cope with the degeneracy of the genetic code in two manners: having more than one tRNA (with a specific anti-codon) for a particular amino acid; and 'wobble' base-pairing, i.e. permitting non-standard base-pairing at the 3rd anti-codon position. The record is from RNAcentral. Lineage: Eukaryota; Metazoa; Arthropoda; Arachnida; Pseudoscorpiones; Chernetidae.